GACACUCGGCAACGGAUAUCUCGGCUCUCGCAUCGAUGAAGAACGUAGCGAAAUGCGAUACCUGGUGUGAAUUGCAGAAUCCCGCGAACCAUCGAGUCUUUGAACGCAAGUUGCGCCCGAGGCCACUCGGCCGAGGGCACGCCUGCCUGGGCGUCA
This 156-nucleotide ribosomal RNA is filed under the name Triticum aestivum (bread wheat). RNAcentral describes it as "rRNA 5_8S_rRNA". It matches the Rfam family "5.8S ribosomal RNA". From Rfam's summary of the family: 5.8S ribosomal RNA (5.8S rRNA) is a component of the large subunit of the eukaryotic ribosome. It is transcribed by RNA polymerase I as part of the 45S precursor that also contains 18S and 28S rRNA. The record is from RNAcentral. Lineage: Eukaryota; Viridiplantae; Streptophyta; Magnoliopsida; Poales; Poaceae.